GCUCAACCGGAGAAGUGCAUCGGAAACUGGGAGACUUGAGUGCAGAAGAGGACAGUGGAACUCCAUGUGUAGCGGUGGAAUGCGUAGAUAUAUGGAAGAACACCAGUGGCGAAGGCGGCUGUCUAGUCUGUAACUGACGCUGAGGCUCGAAAGCAUGGGUAGCGAACAGGAUUAGAUACCCUGGUAGUCCAUGCCGUAAACGAUGAGUGCUAAGUGUUGGAGGGUUUCCGCCCUUCAGUGCUGCAGCUAACGCAUUAAGCACUCCGCCUGGGGAGUACGACCGCAAGGUUGAAACUCAAAGGAAUUGACGGGGGCCCGCACAAGCGGUGGAGCAUGUGGUUUAAUUCGAAGCUACGCGAAGAACCUUACCAGGUCUUGACAUCUUCUGCCAAUCUUAGAGAUAAGACGUUCCCUUCGGGGACAGAAUGACAGGUGGUGCAUGGUUGUCGUCAGCUCGUGUCGUGAGAUGUUGGGUUAAGUCCCGCAACGAGCGCAACCCUUAUUAUCAGUUGCCAGCAUUCAGUUGGGCACUCUGGUGAGACUGCCGGUGACAAACCGGAGGAAGGUGGGGAUGACGUCAAAUCAUCAUGCCCCUUAUGACCUGGGCUUCACACGUGCUACAAUGGACGGUACAACG
Molecule: ribosomal RNA, 637 nt
Filed under: uncultured bacterium
Lineage: Bacteria
Description: bacterial SSU rRNA
Rfam family: Bacterial small subunit ribosomal RNA
Source: RNAcentral